Molecule: small nucleolar RNA, 62 nt
Filed under: Candida albicans SC5314
Lineage: Eukaryota; Fungi; Ascomycota; Pichiomycetes; Serinales; Debaryomycetaceae
Description: Candida albicans snoRNA C6_01540C_A
Source: RNAcentral
UUUCUUCUUUCAAUUGAAAUAUUUCAAAUCAAUAAUUCCAAUAAUAAAUACCAAACCAUAAU